Pelobates cultripes (western spadefoot toad) is the source of this 337-nucleotide non-coding RNA. The record is from the annotation of a GenBank genome assembly. NCBI's taxonomy places the organism in Eukaryota, Metazoa, Chordata, Amphibia, Anura, Pelobatidae.
CUUCAGACUAGGUUUUUUGCCUUCUUUUGGAUCAACAGCAAAAACAUAUGUGAGGAAGGCUGAACUUGAUGGACACAAGUCUCUUUUUCAGCUAUGUAAUUAUAUAACUAUGAAUUCAUAAAUAUAACAUAGGUCAAAUUGAACAUUGCCACAUAUAUCCAUUUUUUCUCUGAAAACUAUCUAAAGGGUUAAUCCACUUCAAAUGUCUUUUACCAAGUUUUUCUUUUUCCGUUGAAUAAUAUUUGAGAAAAUUUAUGCGUAAUAAGAUACAUAUAUAUGUUCUUUGAACCAAUAAUUAAUGGUAAAAGGAAACACAAUUCCAACUAAAUUAUAACAC